AUUGAACGCUGGCGGCAGGCUUAACACAUGCAAGUCGAGCGGGGGAAGGUAGCUUGCUACCGGACCUAGCGGCGGACGGGUGCGUAAUGCUUAGGAAUCUGCCUAUUAGUGGGGGACAACAUCUCGAAAGGGAUGCUAAUACCGCAUACGGCCUACGGGAGAAAGCAGGGGAUCUUCGGACUCUGCGCUAAUAGAUGAGCCUAAGUCGGAUUAGCUAGUUGUUGGGGUAAAGGCCUACCAAGGCGACGAUCUGUAGCGGGUCUGAGAGGAUGAUCCGCCACACUGGGACUGAGACACGGCCCAGACUCCUACGGGAGGCAGCAGUGGGGAAUAUUGGACAAUGGGGGGAACCCUGAUCCAGCCAUGCCGCGCGUGUGAAGAAGGCCUUAUGGUUGUAAAGCACUUUAAGCGAGGAGGAGGCUACUCUAGUUAAUACCUAGGGAUAGUGGACGUUACUCGCAGAAUAAGCACCGGCUAACUCUGUGCCAGCCGCCGCAGUAA
This 501-nucleotide ribosomal RNA is filed under the name uncultured bacterium. RNAcentral describes it as "partial 16S ribosomal RNA". It matches the Rfam family "Bacterial small subunit ribosomal RNA", at positions 30 to 523 of the family's 1533-position model. The record is from RNAcentral.